Molecule: ribosomal RNA, 690 nt
Filed under: uncultured bacterium
Lineage: Bacteria
Description: bacterial SSU rRNA
Rfam family: Bacterial small subunit ribosomal RNA
Source: RNAcentral
ACGGACUUCGGUCUGGUGGCGAGUGGCGAACGGGUGAGUAAUGUAUCGGAACGUGCCCAGUAGCGGGGGAUAACUACGCGAAAGCGUAGCUAAUACCGCAUACGCCCUACGGGGGAAAGCAGGGGAUCGUAAGACCUUGCACUAUUGGAGCGGCCGAUAUCGGAUUAGCUAGUUGGUGGGGUAACGGCUCACCAAGGCGACGAUCCGUAGCUGGUUUGAGAGGACGACCAGCCACACUGGGACUGAGACACGGCCCAGACUCCUACGGGAGGCAGCAGUGGGGAAUUUUGGACAAUGGGGGAAACCCUGAUCCAGCCAUCCCGCGCGUGCGAUGAAGGCCUUCGGGUUGUAAAGCACUUUUGGCAGGAAAGAAACGUCAUGGGUUAAUACCCCGUGAAACUGACGGUACCUGCAGAAUAAGCACCGGCUAACUACGUGCCAGCAGCCGCGGUAAUACGUAGGGUGCAAGCGUUAAUCGGAAUUACUGGGCGUAAAGCGUGCGCAGGCGGUUCGGAAAGAAAGAUGUGAAAUCCCAGAGCUUAACUUUGGAACUGCAUUUUUAACUACCGGGCUAGAGUGUGUCAGAGGGAGGUGGAAUUCCGCGUGUAGCAGUGAAAUGCGUAGAUAUGCGGAGGAACACCGAUGGCGAAGGCAGCCUCCUGGGAUAACACUGACGCUCAUGCACGAAAG